UGCAGUCGAGCGGAAGGCCCUUCGGGGUACUCGAGCGGCGAACGGGUGAGUAACACGUGAGGAACCUGCCCUGGACUUUGGGAUAACCCUCGGAAACGGGGGCUAAUACCGAAUAUGACACUUCACCGCACGGUGUGGGUGUGGAAAGUUUUUCGGUCUGGGAUGGUCUCGCGGCCUAUCAGCUUGUUGGUGGGGUAAUGGCCUACCAAGGCGACGACGGGUAGCCGGCCUGAGAGGGCGACCGGCCACACUGGGACUGAGACACGGCCCAGACUCCUACGGGAGGCAGCAGUGGGGAAUAUUGCACAAUGGGCGGAAGCCUGAUGCAGCGACGCCGCGUGAGGGAUGACGGCCUUCGGGUUGUAAACCUCUUUCAGCAGGGACGAAGCGCAAGUGACGGUACCUGCAGAAGAAGCGCCGGCCAACUACGUGCCAGCAGCCGCGGUAAGACGUAGGGCGCGAGCGUUGUCCGGAUUUAUUGGGCGUAAAGAGCUCGUAGGCGGCUUGCCGCGUCGACUGUGAAAACCCGCGGCUCAACUGCGGGCCUGCAGCCGAUACGGGCAGGCUAGAGUUCGGUAGGGGAGACUGGAAUUCCUGGUGUAGCGGUGAAAUGCGCAGAUAUCAGGAGGAACACCGGUGGCGAAGGCGGGUCUCUGGGCCGAUACUGACGCUGAGGAGCGAAAGCGUGGGGAGCGAACAGGAUUAGAUACCCUGGUAGUCCACGCUGUAAACGUUGGGCGCUAGGUGUGGGGGACCUCUCCGGGUUCUCUGUGCCGCAGCUAACGCAUUAAGCG
Molecule: ribosomal RNA, 794 nt
Filed under: uncultured bacterium
Lineage: Bacteria
Description: bacterial SSU rRNA
Rfam family: Bacterial small subunit ribosomal RNA
Source: RNAcentral